UGGCACUGCAGCUGCUGCUUACCUGUGGGAAGACUCCACCACCUGGUUACACGUGCACCGUCUAGAACCGAGUCAAGUCUCUCUUCUCGGAAUUGACGAGAGGGUGGGAGAGGACGUCGUCCAAGUCGCUGAUGCUGCCUUACUGUUUGUUCAGUGUACAAUAGGUGUAUUGUGGUCAUUCGAGUUUUGUUGUCAGUUGGUUUCAGUGAGCUCUUCCAGUGAAGGAAUGCAUUCGUUUCCUUGUAGUUUCAGUAUGUGCUGCUGAAGCAGAUAAUAAAUAGGUGUCCAGAUUUCCAUUGCAUGCA
Molecule: non-coding RNA, 305 nt
Organism: Musa acuminata subsp. malaccensis (wild Malaysian banana)
Lineage: Eukaryota; Viridiplantae; Streptophyta; Magnoliopsida; Zingiberales; Musaceae
Source: RefSeq, a predicted model, not a curated record